GAUGAACGCUGGCGGCGUGCCUAAUACAUGCAAGUAGAACGCUGAAGCUUGGUGCUUGCACCGAGCGGAUGAGUUGCGAACGGGUGAGUAACGCGUAGGUAACCUGCCUCUUAGCGGGGGAUAACUAUUGGAAACGAUAGCUAAUACCGCAUAAAAGACGAUAUCGCAUGAUAUUGAUUUGAAAGGUGCAAUUGCAUCACUAAGAGAUGGACCUGCGUUGUAUUAGCUAGUUGGUGAGGUAACGGCUCACCAAGGCGACGAUACAUAGCCGACCUGAGAGGGUGAUCGGCCACACUGGGACUGAGACACGGCCCAGACUCCUACGGGAGGCAGCAGUAGGGAAUCUUCGGCAAUGGACGGAAGUCUGACCGAGCAACGCCGCGUGAGUGAAGAAGGUUUUCGGAUCGUAAAGCUCUGUUGUAAGAGAAGAACGAGUGUGAGAGUGGAAAGUUCACACUGUGACGGUAACUUACCAGAAAGGG
This 482-nucleotide ribosomal RNA is filed under the name Streptococcus parasanguinis. RNAcentral describes it as "bacterial SSU rRNA". It matches the Rfam family "Bacterial small subunit ribosomal RNA", at positions 28 to 492 of the family's 1533-position model. The record is from RNAcentral. Lineage: Bacteria; Bacillati; Bacillota; Bacilli; Lactobacillales; Streptococcaceae.